RNAcentral lists this small nucleolar RNA (137 nucleotides) under Carlito syrichta (Philippine tarsier). RNAcentral describes it as "Small nucleolar RNA SNORA70 (ENSTSYG00000023750.2)". It matches the Rfam family "Small nucleolar RNA SNORA70". Rfam says of the family: snoRNA U70 seems to be exclusive to mammals and is a member of the H/ACA class of snoRNA which contain H (ANANNA) and ACA box motifs. Lineage: Eukaryota; Metazoa; Chordata; Mammalia; Primates; Tarsiidae. The record is from Rfam by way of RNAcentral.
CAACAAAAAAACAAAUACCCACUGUGCUCCUUUCCUUGUGGGGGCCUGGUGUGCAAUAACUGCUAAUAGCAGUCUUCUUGGUGGUGUAUGCAGUCUACUGCUUGUAUGGGUUGCACUAAGGGACUUUAGAGGCAGAC